UGGGUCGGCUGGACGGUCGCGUGGCGCGAGAGCGCACCGAGGAACGUCCGGGCUCCACAGGGCAGGGCGGUGGGUAACACCCACCCGGAGUGAUCCGCGAGACAGUGCCACAGAGAGCAGACCGCCCCGGUUCCGACCGGGGUAAGGGUGAAAGGGUGGUGUAAGAGACCACCGGGGUCGUGGUGACACGGCCCGCACGGUAAACCUCGCCCGGAGCAAGGUCAGACAGGGGAUGCCGACGCGGCCCGCCGAGUCCCCGGGUAGACCGCUGGAGCGGCACGGCAACGUGUCGCCGAGAGAGAUGACCGUCCACGGGGUUUCGACCCCCGGACAGAACCCGGCGUACAGGCCGGCCCAUUCG
RNAcentral lists this RNase P RNA (361 nucleotides) under Microbacterium sp. No. 7. RNAcentral describes it as "RNase P RNA component class A". It matches the Rfam family "Bacterial RNase P class A". From Rfam's summary of the family: Ribonuclease P (RNase P) is a ubiquitous endoribonuclease, found in archaea, bacteria and eukarya as well as chloroplasts and mitochondria. Its best characterised activity is the generation of mature 5'-ends of tRNAs by cleaving the 5'-leader elements of precursor-tRNAs. The record is from RNAcentral. RNAcentral also lists the same sequence under 4 other names. Lineage: Bacteria; Bacillati; Actinomycetota; Actinomycetes; Micrococcales; Microbacteriaceae.